RNAcentral lists this ribosomal RNA (440 nucleotides) under uncultured bacterium. RNAcentral's name for it is "partial 16S ribosomal RNA". It matches the Rfam family "Bacterial small subunit ribosomal RNA", at positions 338 to 795 of the family's 1533-position model. The record is from RNAcentral.
CCUACGGGUGGCAGCAGUGGGGAAUAUUGCACAAUGGGGGAAACCCUGAUGCAGCGACGCCGCGUGAGUGAAGAAGUAUCUCGGUACGUAAAGCUCUAUCAGCAGGAAAGAAAAUGACGGUACCUGUCUAAGAAGCACCGGCUAACAACGAGCCAGCAGCCGCGGUAAUACGGAGGGGGCAAGUGUUAUCCGGAUUUACGGGGUGUAAAGGGAGCGUAGGCGGCGCUGCAAGUCCGGAGUGAAAGCCCAUGGUUUAACCCGGGUACUGCUCUUGAAACUGUAGGGCUUGAGUGCGGGAGGGGCAGGCGGAAUUCCUGGUGUAGCGGUGAAAUGCGUAGAUAUUAGGAGGAACACCGGUGGCGAAGGCGGCCUGCUGGACCGAAACUGACGCUGAGGCUCGAAAGCGUGGGGAGCAAACAGGAUUAGAUACCCCAGUAGUC